Molecule: ribosomal RNA, 253 nt
Filed under: uncultured bacterium
Lineage: Bacteria
Description: partial 16S ribosomal RNA
Rfam family: Bacterial small subunit ribosomal RNA
Source: RNAcentral
UACGUAGGGUGCAAGCGUUGUCCGGAAUUAUUGGGCGUAAAGAGCUCGUAGGCGGUUUGUCGCGUCUGCUGUGAAAACUCGGGGCUUAACUCCGGGCCUGCAGUGGGUACGGGCAGACUAGAGUGCGGUAGGGGAGACUGGAAUUCCUGGUGUAGCGGUGAAAUGCGCAGUUAUCAGGAGGAACACCGGUGGCGAAGGCGGGUCUCUGGGCCGUAACUGACGCUGAGGAGCGAAAGCGUGGGGAGCGAACAGG